GCCCGGAUGGUGAAAUUGGUAGACACACAGUGUUCAGAACGCUGCGGGAGUAAUCCCAUGGGGGUUCAAAUCCCCCUCCGGGCA
This 84-nucleotide transfer RNA is filed under the name Candidatus Falkowiibacteriota bacterium. Its description in RNAcentral is "tRNA-Leu". It matches the Rfam family "tRNA". From Rfam's summary of the family: Transfer RNA (tRNA) molecules are approximately 80 nucleotides in length. Their secondary structure includes four short double-helical elements and three loops (D, anti-codon, and T loops). The record is from RNAcentral. Lineage: Bacteria; Candidatus Falkowiibacteriota.